UGGGGAAUAUUGGACAAUGGGCGCAAGCCUGAUCCAGCCAUGCCGCGUGAGUGAUGAAGGCCUUAGGGUUGUAAAGCUCUUUUGUCCGGGAAGAUAAUGACUGUACCGGAAGAAUAAGCACCGGCUAACUAUCGUG
This 136-nucleotide ribosomal RNA is filed under the name bacterium enrichment culture DGGE band AuD4. RNAcentral's name for it is "partial 16S ribosomal RNA". It matches the Rfam family "Bacterial small subunit ribosomal RNA", at positions 355 to 507 of the family's 1533-position model. The record is from RNAcentral.